UGGGGAAUUUUGGACAAUGGACGCAAGUCUGAUCCAGCCAUGCCGCGUGCGGGAAGAAGGCCUUCGGGUUGUAAACCGCUUUUGUCAGGGAAGAAAAGCUCUGGGUUAAUACCUCGGGGUGAUGACGGUACCUGAAGAAUAAGCACCGGCUAACUACGUGCCAGCAGCCGCGGUAAUACGUAGGGUGCAAGCGUUAAUCGGAAUUACUGGGCGUAAAGCGUGCGCAGGCGGUUUUGUAAGUUUGUCGUGAAAUCCCCGGGCUCAACCUGGGAAUUGCGAUGGAGACUGCAAGGCUGGAGUCUGGCAGAGGGGGGUAGAAUUCCACGUGUAGCAGUGAAAUGCGUAGAGAUGUGGAGGAACACCGAUGGCGAAGGCAGCCCCCUGGGUCAAGACUGACGCUCAUGCACGAAAGCGUGGGGAGCAAAC
Molecule: ribosomal RNA, 426 nt
Filed under: uncultured bacterium
Lineage: Bacteria
Description: bacterial SSU rRNA
Rfam family: Bacterial small subunit ribosomal RNA
Source: RNAcentral